UUUAUUGGAGAGUUUGAUCCUGGCUCAGGAUGAACGCUGGCGGCGUGCCUAAUACAUGCAAGUCGAGCGAAUGGAUUAAGAGCUUGCUCUUAUGAAGUUAGCGGCGGACGGGUGAGUAACACGUGGGUAACCUGCCCAUAAGACUGGGAUAACUCCGGGAAACCGGGGCUAAUACCGGAUAACAUUUUGAACCGCAUGGUUCGAAAUUGAAAGGCGG
Molecule: ribosomal RNA, 217 nt
Filed under: Bacillus cereus
Lineage: Bacteria; Bacillati; Bacillota; Bacilli; Caryophanales; Bacillaceae
Also listed under: 1 other name
Description: partial 16S ribosomal RNA
Rfam family: Bacterial small subunit ribosomal RNA
Source: RNAcentral